CCGAGUUUACAACUCCCAAACCCUCGCGAACCUUACCUUUCAGUUGCUUCGGCGGUGCUGCCCCGGCGCCUACGUGCCCGGAACCAGGCGCCCGCCGGAGGUCCAUGAAAACUAUUGCAUUUUCUCCUGGUAUCUAUCUGAGUGGCUUGCAAAGCAAAAAAUCAAAUCA
RNAcentral lists this unclassified non-coding RNA (169 nucleotides) under uncultured Hypocreales. Its description in RNAcentral is "sequence contains ITS1". Lineage: Eukaryota; Fungi; Ascomycota; Sordariomycetes; Hypocreales. The record is from RNAcentral.